RNAcentral lists this unclassified non-coding RNA (231 nucleotides) under Hevea brasiliensis (rubber tree). The record is from RNAcentral. Lineage: Eukaryota; Viridiplantae; Streptophyta; Magnoliopsida; Malpighiales; Euphorbiaceae.
CGGAGCUUGAGAUACGCCGCUCUGAAUCUUGCCGCCCUGCACUGCCGCUUCGGUCACUAUCAACAGGCAGAGCUCGCCCUGCAGGAGGCAAUUAGGAUUGCCCAGGAGUCCAACGAUCACGUGUGUCUCCAGCACUGUUUGAGCUGGCUUUAUGUGCUGGGGCAGAAGAGAUCCGAUAGCUAUGUUCUGCUGGAGCAUUCUGUGAAGAAGGCAGUACAUUUUGGGUUACCG